CGAAUGGGGCAAGCGUUGUUCGGAAUCACUGGGCUUAAAGCGUAUGCAGGUGGAUUUUACAAGUCAGAAGUGAAAUCCCAGGGCUUAACCCUGGAAUUGCUUUUGAAACUGUAGAUCUGGAAUCCCGGAGAGGUUAACAGAAUUCCGAGUGUAGAGGUGAAAUUCGCAGAUAUUCGGAGGAAUACCAGUGGCGCAAGCGGUUAACUGGACGGGCAUUGACACUCAGAUACGAAAGCGUGGGUAGCAAACAGGAUUAGAUACCCUGGUAGUCCACGCCAUAAACGAUGUGUGCUAGUUGUCGGGAUCUUAGAUCUCGGUGACGCAGCGAAAGCGGUAAGCACACCGCCUGGGGAGUACGGUCGCAAGAUUA
This 370-nucleotide ribosomal RNA is filed under the name uncultured organism. Its description in RNAcentral is "bacterial SSU rRNA". It matches the Rfam family "Bacterial small subunit ribosomal RNA", at positions 526 to 896 of the family's 1533-position model. The record is from RNAcentral.